AGGAUUAACGCUGGCGGCGUGCCUAACACAUGCAAGUCGAACGAGGUAGCAAUACCUAGUGGCAGACGGGUGAGUAACGCGUGGUCAACCUACCGUUGAGUGGGGGAUAACUAGCCGAAAGGUUAGCUAAUACCGCAUACGAGUCUCGGGGGCAUCCCUGGGCCUUAAAAGGAGCAAUCCGCUCGAUGACGGGACCGCGUCCCAUUAGCUAGAUGGUGGGGUAAUGGCCUACCAUGGCUCCGAUGGGUAGCUGGUUUGAGAGAGCGACCAGCCACACUGGGACUGAGAAACGGCCCAGACUCCUACGGGAGGCAGCAGUGAGGAAUUUUCCGCAAUGGGCGAAAGCCUGACGGAGCGACGCCGCGUGUGGGAAGAAGGCCUUCGGGUCGUAAACAACUGUCGAAGGGGACGAUAAUGACGGUACCCUUGGAGGAAGCCCCGGCUAACUACGUGCCAGCAGCCGC
RNAcentral lists this ribosomal RNA (464 nucleotides) under uncultured bacterium. RNAcentral describes it as "SSU rRNA". It matches the Rfam family "Bacterial small subunit ribosomal RNA", at positions 26 to 518 of the family's 1533-position model. The record is from RNAcentral.